Molecule: ribosomal RNA, 497 nt
Filed under: uncultured bacterium
Lineage: Bacteria
Description: partial 16S ribosomal RNA
Rfam family: Bacterial small subunit ribosomal RNA
Source: RNAcentral
GAUGAACGCUGGCGGCGUGCCUAAUACAUGCAAGUCGAGCGAACGGACGAGAAGCUUGCUUUUCUGAUUUUAGCGGCGGACGGGUGAUUACCACGUGAAUAACCUACCUAUAAGACUGGGAUACCUUCGGGAAACCGGAGCUAAUACCGGAAAAUAUUUUAAACCGCAUGGUUCAAAAGUGAAAGAGGGUCUUUCUGUCACUAAUAGAUGAUCCCGCGCUGCAUUAGCUAGUUGGUAAGGUAACGGCUUACCAAGGCAACGAUGCAUACCCGACCUGAGGGGGUGAUCGGCCACACUGGAACUGAGACACGGUCCAGACUCCUACGGGAGGCAGCAGUAGGGAAUCUUCCGCAAUGGGCGAAAGCCUGACGGAGCAACGCCGCGUGAGUGAUGAAGGUCUUCGGAUCGUAAAACUCUGUUAUUAGGGAAGAACAUAUGUGUAAGUAACUGUGCACAUCUUGACGGUACCUAAUCAGAAAGCCACGGCUAACUACGUG